This 108-nucleotide ribosomal RNA is filed under the name Gorilla gorilla gorilla (western lowland gorilla). Lineage: Eukaryota; Metazoa; Chordata; Mammalia; Primates; Hominidae. The record is from RNAcentral.
GUCUAUGGCCAGAACCACCCUGAACGCACCUGACCUCAGAAGUUAAGCAGGGUUAGGCCUGGUUAGUAAUUGGAUGUGAGAUAGUGCAGUAGUACAAAGGACAAGAUU